GUGGGGAAUAUUGGACAAUGGGCGAAAGCCUGAUCCAGCCAUGCCGCGUGUGUGAAGAAGGUCUUCGGAUCGUAAAGCACUUUAAGUUGGGAGGAAGGGCAGUAAGUUAAUACCUUGCUGUUUUGACGUUACCGACAGAAUAAGCACCGGCUAACUUCGUGCCAGCAGCCGCGGUAAUACGAAGGGUGCAAGCGUUAAUCGGAAUUACUGGGCGUAAAGCGCGCGUAGGUGGUUUUGUAAGUUGGAGGUGAAAUCCCCGGGCUCAACCUGGGAACUGCCUCCAAAACUGCAUGACUAGAGUACGGUAGAGGGUAGUGGAAUUUCCUGUGUAGCGGUGAAAUGCGUAGAUAUAGGAAGGAACACCAGUGGCGAAGGCGACUACCUGGACUGAUACUGACACUGAGGUGCGAAAGCGUGGGGAGCAAACAGGAUUAGAAACCCCGGUAGUCC
This 450-nucleotide ribosomal RNA is filed under the name uncultured bacterium. Its description in RNAcentral is "partial 16S ribosomal RNA". It matches the Rfam family "Bacterial small subunit ribosomal RNA", at positions 354 to 796 of the family's 1533-position model. The record is from RNAcentral.